Long non-coding RNA from Papaver somniferum (opium poppy), 2176 nucleotides. RefSeq lists it as uncharacterized. Lineage: Eukaryota; Viridiplantae; Streptophyta; Magnoliopsida; Ranunculales; Papaveraceae. The record is from RefSeq and is a predicted model, not a curated record. The transcript is spliced from 4 exons.
CUUCUUUGACUAGGGUUUGGAGGAGAGAAAAAAAAGGGUCCGAGGAGAAACCGCAGAUGAGGGCGAUGAUCACAGAUUUUAAUUCUUUUUGAUUCUUUUCCUCCUGUUCUCUUCUCCUUUUGAGAAUCAAAUACAUCGAUCGAGACAGCUAUUAUCAUAACUUUGUUUGAUUUAUUCACUCCACCCAGACCCAUAACAAACCCCAUCAAAUUCCCCAAAUCCAACCGUCCCCCAAUUUCAAUCUCCAUCAAACCUAAACUAAUAGGAUUAAACAUUCUCCAAUGAAGCAAAUGUAUGACAUCUGUUCCCAUCUACCAUCUCCAUUAUCACAUUUAAAAUCAUCUCUAAACCAAAUUUCAAAGUAUGAUUUUGUUUGCUUAAAUCAUGUUUUGUUUGUUUCGUAAGAUUGGGAUUGCUAUUUCAUUCACUGUAGAAAAAAUUAAUUUCAUUUUAUGUUUCUCCUUUGAUGUUGGAGCCCUGAAAACUUAUCGAGGCCUCAUGAUUUUUAUGUUUGAUUUGUUUGAUUGACAAAAACCCCUCAUGAAUUAAGUCAAUUUAUAUAUACGCAAGGAUUGGAAAUGAAAAUUUCUGAAAUUUUGGUACACCUUAACAAUGGGUUAACCUCUUUACUGCUGCUACACUCUCGCAAGACUAACGCAGUGUAACUGUCUGUGGAAAUGCAUAGCAGAAAAGAGUGCAAUCUGUAUAGAGACUAGAGAGCUGUAGACCAAGUGAAAUUACAUAGAGCCAUACAGGACUGUUAAUAACCAAUAUUGCAGGUAACAUUUUUAUUUUGUCCACCUUAGUAAUUCGAGUGACCGUAUUAGGUUGUAGAAACAUAAAUUCCUACAUUUCUUGCAAUUCAGUAUUUACUCAUUUGGCGGUAUUUACUCAUUUGGGCGGCUAACUCAACUAACAUCUAAUUAGAUGAGUCUGUUACUGAGCAUCUGACUAUUCCAUUGAAUAUGAUUGAGUAUUUUGGUGUGCAGUGCAAACAGUUAAAAACUUUUUUUGUAUUCCAAUUGUUAAUUUGGUUAUUAACUGAUCUUCACAACACCCAUUAUUUUUCAAGAAAAGAGACAAGACUUAAACUAAUGUAAUAGGCUUGGUUUCCAAAGUAAUGAGCUUUAUACUUAGUAGCAACAAGAUGUUUGAGCAUUCUCAUGACACCAACCGUGUCAUCUAGGUAUGUCCGAGUGUGCAUGCAAAUAGGAAUGGAUUCCUAUUGAUUCUCAUGACACCAAGCGUGUCAUCUAGGUAUCUUUGAUCAUUCCUAUUGAUUAGAAUGCUGUUAGUACUAAUGUCUUCUUACAGAAAAUGCAGCUGGCUAAAACAACCAAAAAAAAAUUUGCUUUGAAUGCGUCGUCAUUGAUCAUGACCCUGAAGAUAACCUAGAUAAGGAUUCUGAAGAUAGGGAUUUGAAUGGAACUAAUAAAGAAAAUAGAAAUUCAGUUGUUAUAAGUAGAGUGGAGAAAAAGUGAACGAAGAGAGGUUUGGUAUAAAAUUCAAGACAGAGAAGGUAUGGGUGGUAAUAAUGUUCAGACUUCAGAGUAAGUUUCUACCAAUAGGAGGGGUUCAAUUGCUGCUGCUAUUGUGGUUGUAGCUGCAGAGAUCUGGGGAAGCUCUAGGUGGCAUGGUCAGGCAGCUUUCGAUGGAUCAGUUUGACUCCACAGAGCGCCAUAAGGGCUAAGAAUCUAUUGGAUGGACAAUUAUAUAUCAUUAUGGUGGCUUGGAAGCCACAAAUGAUCGAAGCAGAUGACUACAUAAUGAAAUUGGCUAGACAUGCAAAGCUAUCAGAUCAUCUUAUGAUAACGAAAUUCACCAGAUGCACAUGCCGGAUGCUUAUAUGUGGGUUUGUUUGAACUUGGUUGAUUUUUUGCUUCGCAUAUACUCUUUCUUACUAAGAAGAAGUGACGGGAGUGGUAAUACUUGCUUAAUUAGUAUCUCCUUCAGUUCAUUUGCCUUCUGUAAUUUUACUCAAGUCGGUUUUUGUUGUCCAAAUAGUCCUAUAUGGGACUGUUUGUUUUGAGUUAAUUUUCGAUUACGUCUAACAUUAUUAUUGUUUACCUCAUUUUUCUUAAUUGAUCUGCGUUGAAAAGCAUAAUGAUGUUCAAGGUCUGAAUGUUUGUAUCACUCUUUAUACCAAAUGAUCCAUAUCUGUAGUAAUUGACAUCAA